GACGAACGCUGGCGGCGUGCCUAAUACAUGCAAGUCGAACGAGAGCGACCGGUGCUUGCACUGGUCAAUCUAGUGGCGAACGGGUGAGUAACACGUGGGUAACCUGCCCAUCAGAGGGGGAUAACAUCCGGAAACGGAUGCUAAAACCGCAUAGGUCUUCGAACCGCAUGGUUUGAAGAGGAAAAGAGGCGCAAGCUUCUGCUGAUGGAUGGACCCGCGGUGCAUUAGCUAGUUGGUGAGGUAACGGCUCACCAAGGCCGGGAUGCAUAGCCGACCUGAGAGGGUGAUCGGCCACAUUGGGACGGAGACACGGCCCAAACUCCUACGGGAGGCAGCAGUAGGGAAUCUUCCGCAAUGGACGCAAGUCUGACGGAGCAACGCCGCGUGAGUGAAGAAGGUUUUCGGAUCGUAAAACUCUGUUGUUAGAGAAGAACAAGUGCUAGAGUAACUGUUAGCGCCUUGACGGUAUCUAACCGGAAAGCCACGGCUAACUACGUG
Molecule: ribosomal RNA, 498 nt
Filed under: uncultured bacterium
Lineage: Bacteria
Description: partial 16S ribosomal RNA
Rfam family: Bacterial small subunit ribosomal RNA
Source: RNAcentral